GAGUGAAAAAGAACCUGAAACCGUGUACGUACAAGCAGUGGGAGCACCCUUUUGGGUGUGACUGCGUACCUUUUGUAUAAUGGGUCAGCGACUUAUAUUCUGUAGCAAGGUUAACCGAAUAGGGGAGCCGAAGGGAAACCGAGUCUUAACUGGGCGUUAAGUUGCAGGGUAUAGACCCGAAACCCGGUGAUCUAGCCAUGGGCAGGUUGAAGGUUGGGUAACACUAACUGGAGGACCGAACCGACUAAUGUUGAAAAAUUAGCGGAUGACUUGUGGCUGGGGGUGAAAGGCCAAUCAAACCGGGAGAUAGCUGGUUCUCCCCGAAAGCUAUUUAGGUAGCGCCUCGUGAAUUCAUCUCCGGGGGUAGAGCACUGUUUCGGCAAGGGGGUCAUCCCGACUUACCAACCCGAUGCAAACUGCGAAUACCGGAGAAUGUUAUCACGGGAGACACACGGCGGGUGCUAACGUCCGUCGUGAAGAGGGAAACAACCCAGACCGCCAGCUAAGGUCCCAAAGUCAUGGUUAAGUGGGAAACGAUGUGGGAAGGCCCAGACAGCCAGGAUGUUGGCUUAGAAGCAGCCAUCAUUUAAAGAAAGCGUAAUAGCUCACUGGUCGAGUCGGCCUGCGCGGAAGAUGUAACGGGGCUAAACCAUG
This 654-nucleotide ribosomal RNA is filed under the name Escherichia coli. RNAcentral describes it as "partial 23S ribosomal RNA". It matches the Rfam family "Bacterial large subunit ribosomal RNA", at positions 536 to 1191 of the family's 2925-position model. The record is from RNAcentral. Lineage: Bacteria; Pseudomonadati; Pseudomonadota; Gammaproteobacteria; Enterobacterales; Enterobacteriaceae.